Molecule: transfer RNA, 79 nt
Filed under: Elusimicrobiota bacterium
Lineage: Bacteria; Pseudomonadati; Elusimicrobiota
Description: Elusimicrobia bacterium (groundwater metagenome) tRNA-Ala
Rfam family: tRNA
About the family: Transfer RNA (tRNA) molecules are approximately 80 nucleotides in length. Their secondary structure includes four short double-helical elements and three loops (D, anti-codon, and T loops). Further hydrogen bonds mediate the characteristic L-shaped molecular structure. tRNAs have two regions of fundamental functional importance: the anti-codon, which is responsible for specific mRNA codon recognition, and the 3' end, to which the tRNAs corresponding amino acid is attached (by aminoacyl-tRNA synthetases). tRNAs cope with the degeneracy of the genetic code in two manners: having more than one tRNA (with a specific anti-codon) for a particular amino acid; and 'wobble' base-pairing, i.e. permitting non-standard base-pairing at the 3rd anti-codon position.
Source: RNAcentral
GGGCGUGUAGCUCAGCUGGGAGAGCGCCUCCAUGGCAUGGAGGAGGUCGCAGGUUCGAUCCCNNCUGUCACGUCCACCA